RNAcentral lists this ribosomal RNA (292 nucleotides) under uncultured bacterium. RNAcentral's name for it is "partial 16S ribosomal RNA". It matches the Rfam family "Bacterial small subunit ribosomal RNA", at positions 505 to 796 of the family's 1533-position model. The record is from RNAcentral.
GUGUCAGCCGCCGCGGUAAUACGGAGGGAGCUAGCGUUGUUCGGAAUUACUGGGCGUAAAGCGCACGUAGGCGGCUCAGCAAGUCAGGGGUGAAAUCCCGGGGCUCAACCCCGGAACUGCCCUUGAAACUGCUAAGCUAGAAUCCUGGAGAGGCGAGUGGAAUUCCGAGUGUAGAGGUGAAAUUCGUAGAUAUUCGGAAGAACACCAGUGGCGAAGGCGACUCGCUGGACAGGUAUUGACGCUGAGGUGCGAAAGCGUGGGGAGCAAACAGGAUUAGAAACCCCCGUAGUCC